RNAcentral lists this ribosomal RNA (253 nucleotides) under uncultured bacterium. Its description in RNAcentral is "partial 16S ribosomal RNA". It matches the Rfam family "Bacterial small subunit ribosomal RNA", at positions 524 to 776 of the family's 1533-position model. The record is from RNAcentral.
GACAGAGGCCUCAAGCGUUAGGCGGAAUCACUGGGCUUAAAGCGUGUGUAGGCGGAUCGUUAAGUGCCUUGUGAAAUCCCACGGCUUAACUGUGGAACGGCUGGGCAUACUGGCGGUCUUGAGCCAGCUAGGGGCGACUGGAACAAACGGUGGAGCGGUGAAAUGCGUAGAUAUCGGGAGGAACACCAGUGGCGAAGGCGACUACCUGGCCUGUUCUUGACGCUGAGGCGCGAAAGCUAGGGGAGCAAACGGG